This 287-nucleotide ribosomal RNA is filed under the name uncultured Pseudomonas sp. RNAcentral's name for it is "partial 16S ribosomal RNA". It matches the Rfam family "Bacterial small subunit ribosomal RNA", at positions 87 to 377 of the family's 1533-position model. The record is from RNAcentral. Lineage: Bacteria; Pseudomonadati; Pseudomonadota; Gammaproteobacteria; Pseudomonadales; Pseudomonadaceae.
UCUUGAGAGCGGCGGACGGGUGAGUAAAGCCUAGGAAUCUGCCUGGUAGUGGGGGAUAACGUUCGGAAACGGACGCUAAUACCGCAUACGUCCUACGGGAGAAAGCAGGGGACCUUCGGGCCUUGCGCUAUCAGAUGAGCCUAGGUCGGAUUAGCUAGUUGGUGAGGUAAUGGCUCACCAAGGCGACGAUCCGUAACUGGUCUGAGAGGAUGAUCAGUCACACUGGAACUGAGACACGGUCCAGACUCCUACGGGAGGCAGCAGUGGGGAAUAUUGGACAAUGGGCG